Non-coding RNA from Dissoconium aciculare CBS 342.82, 90 nucleotides. NCBI's taxonomy places the organism in Eukaryota, Fungi, Ascomycota, Dothideomycetes, Mycosphaerellales, Dissoconiaceae. The record is from the annotation of a RefSeq genome assembly.
UCCCGCGUGGCACAAUUGGUCAGCGCGUGAGACUUUUAAGAGCUUCGGCUUGUGAUCUCAAGGUUGGGAGUUCGAGCCUCCCCGCGGGAG